AAGUCGUAACAAGGUCUCCGUAGGUGAACCUGCGGAGGGAUCAUUAACACAACAAGUGGCACUGCUGGGGGUUUCGCCCUCUGCUGCGGUGCAACACUGUUAACACCCAUCUACCGUGAACUACUAUGACCCUUUUUUGUCUCUACUCAGCCUUGUGCUGUGUAGUGACUUUUCAUUUUUGACAUGAAACCCUUUCCAAUGUUAAUUUAUAAUUGUAACUGUUUCACGUUGGUGUGUUAGUCUCUGGACUCUCGCUCCGUAUGUGUUGAACUAUUACGAACUAUUAUUGAGUACAACUCUUAGCAACGGAUAUCUUGGUUCUC
RNAcentral lists this unclassified non-coding RNA (323 nucleotides) under fungal sp. RNAcentral's name for it is "partial internal transcribed spacer region". The stretch from base 1 to 46 matches the Rfam family "Eukaryotic small subunit ribosomal RNA", at positions 1786 to 1831 of the family's 1831-position model. Lineage: Eukaryota; Fungi. The record is from RNAcentral.